Molecule: unclassified non-coding RNA, 384 nt
Filed under: soil metagenome
Description: partial contains 5.8S ribosomal RNA, internal transcribed spacer 2, and large subunit ribosomal RNA
Rfam family: 5.8S ribosomal RNA (bases 1-120)
Source: RNAcentral
GAUGAAGAACGUAGCGAAAUGCGAUAAGUAAUGUGAAUUGCAGAAUUCAGUGAAUCAUCGAAUCUUUGAACGCACCUUGCACCCUUUGGCAUUCCGAAGGGUAUGCUCGUUUGAGUGUCAUUGUACUCUCACUCUCCCGAUGCUUUUGGAUCGGGAGUGGUGGACUUGGGUGUUGCUGCUUUGCUGUGGCUCGCCUCAAAUGGAGUAGUGCAACUCUUGGUUGGACAUAGUACGGCGUGAUAAGUGUCUUCGCCGGCGCCUCAUUAUAGAGGGUGGCCGAUCGGGAGCUCUGUGCUUCAAACCGUCUUCGGACAACAUCUGACAACUUGACCUCAAAUCGAGUAGGACUACCCGCUGAACUUAAGCAUAUCAAUAAGCGGAAGA